This 859-nucleotide ribosomal RNA is filed under the name Entoloma sp. Its description in RNAcentral is "LSU rRNA". It matches the Rfam family "Eukaryotic large subunit ribosomal RNA", at positions 78 to 922 of the family's 3401-position model. Lineage: Eukaryota; Fungi; Basidiomycota; Agaricomycetes; Agaricales; Entolomataceae. The record is from RNAcentral.
CCCUAGUAACUGCGAGUGAAGCGGGAAAAGCUCAAAUUUAAAAUCUGGUAGUCUUUGGCUGCCCGAGUUGUAAUCUAGAGAAGCGUUAUCCGCGCUGGACCGUGUAUAAGUCUCCUGGAAUGGAGCGUCAUAGAGGGUGAGAAUCCCGUCUUUGACACGGACUACCAGGGCUUUGUGAUGCGCUCUCAACGAGUCGAGUUGUUUGGGAAUGCAGCUCUAAAUGGGUGGUAAAUUCCAUCUAAAGCUAAAUAUUGGCGAGAGACCGAUAGCGAACAAGUACCGUGAGGGAAAGAUGAAAAGAACUUUGGAAAGAGAGUUAAACAGUACGUGAAAUUGUUGAAAGGGAAACGCUUGAAGUCAGUCGCAUUGGUCAGGGAUCAACCUUGCUUUCUGCUUGGCGUACUUCCUGGCUAAUGGGUCAGCAUCAAUUUUGACCAGUGGAAAAAGGUCGAGGGAAUGUGGCAUCUUCGGAUGUGUUAUAGCCUUUGGUCGCAUACAUUGGUUGGGAUUGAGGAACUCAGCACGCCGCAAGGCCGGGUUUUUAACCACGUUCGUGCUUAGGAUGCUGGCAUAAUGGCUUUAAUCGACCCGUCUUGAAACACGGACCAAGGAGUCUAACAUGCCUGCGAGUGUUUGGGUGGAAAACCCAAGCGCGUAAUGAAAGUGAAAGUUGGGAUCCCUGUCGUGGGGAGCACCGACGCCCGGACCAGACCUACUGUGACGGAUCCGCGGUAGAGCAUGUAUGUUGGGACCCGAAAGAUGGUGAACUAUGCCUGAAUAGGGUGAAGCCAGAGGAAACUCUGGUGGAGGCUCGUAGCGAUUCUGACGUGCAAAUCGAUCGUCGAAUUUGGGUAUAGGG